Molecule: ribosomal RNA, 253 nt
Filed under: uncultured bacterium
Lineage: Bacteria
Description: partial 16S ribosomal RNA
Rfam family: Bacterial small subunit ribosomal RNA
Source: RNAcentral
UACGGAGGAUCCAAGCGUUAUCCGGAUUUAUUGGGUUUAAAGGGUGCGUAGGCGGCCUAUUAAGUCAGGGGUGAAAGACGGUAGCUCAACUAUCGCAGUGCCCUUGAUACUGAUGGGCUUGAAUGAACUAGAGGUAGGCGGAAUGUGACAAGUAGCGGUGAAAUGCAUAGAUAUGUCACAGAACACCGAUUGCGAAGGCAGCUUACUAUGGUUUUAUUGACGCUGAGGCACGAAAGCGUGGGGAUCAAACAGG